RNAcentral lists this transfer RNA (71 nucleotides) under Sphaerodactylus townsendi. RNAcentral describes it as "tRNA-Ala". Lineage: Eukaryota; Metazoa; Chordata; Lepidosauria; Squamata; Sphaerodactylidae. The record is from RNAcentral.
GGAGGUGGCUCAGUAAUAGACUAUCUGCUUGGCAUGCAGAAGUCCCCAGGUUCGAUUCCCUGACAUCUUCA